GGUCGGGUAGCUCAGUCGGUUAGAGCGCCGUGCUAAUAACGCGGAUGUCGAGGGUUCGAGCCACUCUCUGGCCA
Molecule: transfer RNA, 74 nt
Filed under: Taenia asiatica
Lineage: Eukaryota; Metazoa; Platyhelminthes; Cestoda; Cyclophyllidea; Taeniidae
Rfam family: tRNA
About the family: Transfer RNA (tRNA) molecules are approximately 80 nucleotides in length.
Source: Rfam by way of RNAcentral